RNAcentral lists this ribosomal RNA (459 nucleotides) under uncultured bacterium. RNAcentral's name for it is "partial 16S ribosomal RNA". It matches the Rfam family "Bacterial small subunit ribosomal RNA", at positions 338 to 795 of the family's 1533-position model. The record is from RNAcentral.
CCUACGGGUGGCAGCAGUGAGGAAUAUUGGUCAAUGGGCGGGAGCCUGAACCAGCCAAGCCGCGUGAGGGAAGAAGGUACAGCGUAUCGUAAACCUCUUUUGUCAGGGAACAAAGGCGGGGACUAGUCCCCGGAUGAGGGUACCUGAAGAAAAAGCAUCGGCUAACUCCGUGCAAGCAGCCGCGGUAAUACGGAGGAUGCGAGCGUUAUCCGGAUUUAUGGGGUUUAAAGGGUGCGCAGGCGGCCUGUUAAGUCAGCGGUAAAAGCCCGGGGCUCAACCCCGGCGAGCCGUUGAAACUGGCGAGCUGGAGUUGGAGAGAGGUACGCGGAAUGCGCGGUGUAGCGGUGAAAUGCUUAGAUAUAGCGCAGAACCCCGAUUGCGAAGGCAGCGUACCGGCUCCACACUGACGCUGAGGCACGAAAGCGUGGGUAUCGAACAGGAUUAGAUACCCUUGUAGUC